GACGAACGCUGGCGGCGUGCUUAACACAUGCAAGUCGAACGGAAAGGCCUUUUCGGAGGUACUCGAGUGGCGAACGGGUGAGUAACACGUGGGUGAUCUGCCCUGCACUCUGGGAUAAGCCUGGGAAACUGGGUCUAAUACCGGAUAGGACCGCACUUUAGUGUGUGUGGUGGAAAGUUUUUUCGGUGUAGGAUGAGCCCGCGGCCUAUCAGCUUGUUGGUGGGGUAAUGGCCUACCAAGGCGGCGACGGGUAGCCGGACUGAGAGGUUGGUCGGCCACAUUGGGACUGAGAUACGGCCCAGACUCCUACGGGAGGCAGCAGUGGGGAAUAUUGCACAAUGGGCGCGAGCCUGAUGCAGCGACGCCGCGUGGGGGAUGACGGCCUUCGGGUUGGAAACUCCUUUCGCCAGGGACGAAGCGUUUUGUGACGGUACCUGGAGAAGAAGCACCGGCUAACUACGUG
RNAcentral lists this ribosomal RNA (463 nucleotides) under uncultured bacterium. Its description in RNAcentral is "partial 16S ribosomal RNA". It matches the Rfam family "Bacterial small subunit ribosomal RNA", at positions 28 to 507 of the family's 1533-position model. The record is from RNAcentral.